GACGAACGCUGGCGGCGUGCUUAACACAUGCAAGUCGAACGGAAAGGCCCUGCUUGCAGGGUACUCGAGUGGCGAACGGGUGAGUAACACGUGGGUGAUCUGCCCUGCACUUCGGGAUAAGCUUGGGAAGCUGGGUCUAAUACCGGAUAGGAACCAUCUUUAGUGUGGGGGUUGGAAAGUUUUUUCGGUGUAGGAUGAGCUCGCGGCCUAUCGGCUUGUUGGUGGGGUAAUGGCCUACCAAGGCGGCGACGGGUAGCCGGCCUGAGAGGGUGUACGGCCACAUUGGGACUGAGAUACGGCCCAGACUCCUACGGGAGGCAGCAGUGGGGAAUAUUGCACAAUGGGCGCAAGCCUGAUGCAGCGACGCCGCGUGGGGGAUGAAGGCCUUCGGGUUGUAAACUCCUUUCGCUAGGGACGAAGCUUUUUGUGACGGUACCUAGAUAAGAAGCACCGGCUAACUACGUG
Molecule: ribosomal RNA, 465 nt
Filed under: uncultured bacterium
Lineage: Bacteria
Description: partial 16S ribosomal RNA
Rfam family: Bacterial small subunit ribosomal RNA
Source: RNAcentral